Molecule: ribosomal RNA, 254 nt
Filed under: uncultured bacterium
Lineage: Bacteria
Description: partial 16S ribosomal RNA
Rfam family: Bacterial small subunit ribosomal RNA
Source: RNAcentral
CACGUAGGGCGCAAGCGUUGUCCGGAAUUAUUGGGCGUAAAGAGCUCGUAGGCGGUUUGUCGCGUCUGCUGUGAAAACUCGAGGCUCAACCUCGGGCUUGCAGUGGGUACGGGCAGACUAGAGUGUUGCAGGGGAGACUGGAAUUCCUGGUGUAGCGGUGAAAUGCGCAGAUAUCAGGAGGAACACCGAUGGCGAAGGCAGGUCUCUGGGCCGAUACUGACGCUGGAGGAGCGAAAGCGUGGGGAGCGAACAGG